This 69-nucleotide transfer RNA is filed under the name Proechimys gardneri. Its description in RNAcentral is "tRNA-Gly". The record is from RNAcentral. Lineage: Eukaryota; Metazoa; Chordata; Mammalia; Rodentia; Echimyidae.
AUCUUCUUAGUAUAACCAGUACAACUGACUUCCAAUCAGCAAGAUCCGAAUCAAUAACGGAAGAAGAUA